Molecule: transfer RNA, 73 nt
Filed under: Mesocricetus auratus (golden hamster)
Lineage: Eukaryota; Metazoa; Chordata; Mammalia; Rodentia; Cricetidae
Rfam family: tRNA
About the family: Transfer RNA (tRNA) molecules are approximately 80 nucleotides in length. Their secondary structure includes four short double-helical elements and three loops (D, anti-codon, and T loops).
Source: Rfam by way of RNAcentral
GCAGAGGUGGCUCAGUGGUUAAGAGCACUGGCUGCUCUUCCAGAGGACCUGAGUUCAAUUCCCAGCACCCACA